RNAcentral lists this transfer RNA (74 nucleotides) under Candidatus Portnoyibacteriota bacterium. RNAcentral's name for it is "tRNA-Gly". It matches the Rfam family "tRNA". Rfam says of the family: Transfer RNA (tRNA) molecules are approximately 80 nucleotides in length. Their secondary structure includes four short double-helical elements and three loops (D, anti-codon, and T loops). The record is from RNAcentral. Lineage: Bacteria; Candidatus Portnoyibacteriota.
GCGGGAUUAGUUAAGUGGCUUAAUAUCACCUUCCCAAGGUGAAGACACGGGUUCAAUUCCCGUAUCCCGCUCAA